This 473-nucleotide ribosomal RNA is filed under the name uncultured bacterium. RNAcentral's name for it is "bacterial SSU rRNA". It matches the Rfam family "Bacterial small subunit ribosomal RNA", at positions 31 to 507 of the family's 1533-position model. The record is from RNAcentral.
GAACGCUGGCGGCGUGCCUAACACAUGCAAGUCGAGCGGGGUUGAAGCGAGAGGUAACUCGAACCUCUACCUAGGCGGCGGACGGGUGAGUAACGCGUGGGCAACCUGCCUCAAGGUCUGGGAUAACAGCCCGAAAGGGCUGCUAAUACUGGGUAUGCUUGUGGCCUCGCAUGGGGCUAUGAGCAAAGGGGAAACCCGCCUUGAGAUGGGCCCGCGUCCCAUCAGCUAGUUGGUGAGGUAACAGCUCACCAAGGCGACGACGGGUAGCCGGCCUGAGAGGGUGACCGGCCACACUGGGACUGAGACACGGCCCAGACUCCUACGGGGGGCAGCAGUGGGGGAUCUUGCACAAUGGGCGAAAGCCUGAUGCAGCGACGCCGCGUGAGCGAAGAAGGCCUUCGGGUUGUAAAGCUCUGUCUGGAGGGACGAAGGAAGUGACGGUACCUCCGGAGGAAGCCACGGCUAACUACGUG